RNAcentral lists this ribosomal RNA (508 nucleotides) under uncultured bacterium. RNAcentral's name for it is "bacterial SSU rRNA". It matches the Rfam family "Bacterial small subunit ribosomal RNA", at positions 29 to 526 of the family's 1533-position model. The record is from RNAcentral.
AUUGAACGCUGACGGCGUGCUUAACACAUGCAAGUCGUGCGAGAAAGGGGGCUUCGGCCUCUGAGUAGAGCGGCGCACGGGUGAGUAACGCGUGGAUUAUCUACCCUCGGGCUCGGGAUAACAGUGGGAAACCGCUGCUAAUACCGGAUACGACCGACAGGUGAAAGGUGGCCUCUGCUUGCAAGCUACCGACCGGGGAUGAGUCCGCGUCCCAUUAGCUAGUUGGCGGGGUAAUGGCCCACCAAGGCAACGAUGGGUAGCUGGUCUGAGAGGAUGACCAGCCACACUGGGACUGGAACACGGCCCAGACUCCUACGGGAGGCAGCAGUGGGGAAUAUUGCGCAAUGGGGGAAACCCUGACGCAGCGACGCCGUGUGAGGGAAGAAGGCCUUCGGGUCGUAAACCUCUGUCGGGAGGGAAGAACCGCCAAGGGUCCAAUAGGCCUUUGGCCUGACGGUACCUCCAAAGGAAGCACCGGCUAACUCCGUGCCAGCAGCCGCCGUAAGAC